GUGGGGAAUAUUGGACAAUGGGCGAAAGCCUGAUCCAGCCAUGCCGCGUGUGUGAAGAAGGUCUUCGGAUUGUAAAGCACUUUAAGUUGGGAGGAAGGGUAGUAAGUUAAUACCUUGCUGUUUUGACGUUACCGACAGAAUAAGCACCGGCUAACUUCGUGCCAGCAGCCGCGGUAAUACGAAGGGUGCAAGCGUUAAUCGGAAUUACUGGGCGUAAAGCGCGCGUAGGUGGUUUUGUAAGUUGGAGGUGAAAUCCCCGGGCUCAACCUGGGAACUGCCUCCAAAACUGCAUGACUAGAGUACGGUAGAGGGUAGUGGAAUUUCCUGUGUAGCGGUGAAAUGCGUAGAUAUAGGAAGGAACACCAGUGGCGAAGGCGACUACCUGGACUGAUACUGACACUGAGGUGCGAAAGCGUGGGGAGCAAACAGGAUUAGAAACCCGGGUAGUCC
RNAcentral lists this ribosomal RNA (450 nucleotides) under uncultured bacterium. Its description in RNAcentral is "bacterial SSU rRNA". It matches the Rfam family "Bacterial small subunit ribosomal RNA", at positions 354 to 796 of the family's 1533-position model. The record is from RNAcentral.